Molecule: long non-coding RNA, 870 nt
Filed under: Oryza sativa (Asian cultivated rice)
Lineage: Eukaryota; Viridiplantae; Streptophyta; Magnoliopsida; Poales; Poaceae
Description: long non-coding RNA (OSAT_LNC001369)
Source: RNAcentral
AGGAACGUCAGGUGCCUCGCCGGCGCCGUCGCCGGCGGCCGUGGUGCCCGCAGUUAACCAGACGCCGCCGGCGGCGACGCCGACGCUUGAAGGAGGUGAGUCAAAGCGCCUUGGCCUUAAAUGGUACUUACUCCAUUUUAUAUUACAAGUUGCUUUCACUUUUUUUCUAGAAAAACUUAGUAAUGUCUACAACUCUAAAUUAGUUUGAUUAAAUCUAACAUGAAUAUAUUUUGAUGAUAUGUUUGUUUUGUGUUAAAAAUAUUAUUAUUUUUUCCGUAUAAACUUAAUCAAACUUUAAAAAUUUCAAUAGAAAAAAUCAAAAUAACUUAUAAAAUUAAACGGAGAGAGUAGAUUAUAAUUGAGUUACUUUUCUUGAAAAAUUUAGAUUAAGGCCCUGUUUGUUUCAGUUUAAGAUUAUUGUAAUCUAAAUUAUUGAGUCAGAUAUUAUAAGCUGGAUUAUAAUAAGCAGACAUAGAAUAAGUUGAUAGCUGUUUAUUUCUCUGGAUUAUUAGCUGGUUGUUAGGUGGUAGCCAUCUAAUAAUCUAAAAAAAGCACCUUUAAAGUAGAUUACUAGAUUAUAGAUUGUAAUAAUCUAUCAUAAUAAGUUAUCUGUUUAAUAAUUCAAAUUAUAAUAAUCUUAAGCUGAAACAAACAUUGCCUAAAUAUAAUUUUGUGACACUACUUAGCCUGACAUUUUACUUCUAAAAAAAAAUAAUCCAGGGAGGAAGUACAGCGUCCCUGGAUUGGUUCUUAUAAUUCUGCUGCCUACAAUAGCAGCAAUAAACGUUGUGGUUGGCCUCUGUUUCUGGAGGAGGAGGAGGCGACCAGUAACAGAAGCAAAGCGAACAUGUAUGUUCUGCAAAAUUCUCC